Molecule: long non-coding RNA, 248 nt
Filed under: Elaeis guineensis (African oil palm)
Lineage: Eukaryota; Viridiplantae; Streptophyta; Magnoliopsida; Arecales; Arecaceae
Description: long non-coding RNA (EGUI_LNC025512)
Source: RNAcentral
GACUUUGAAAAGAUGGUGGGUAUGAAUGGUAUAUUGUUUCACGACAUGUUGGACUUGUUCUUUCGAUCCGAAUACCAUUUCUUUCUUAACUUUUUAUUCCCACGAAAGAAUGGAUGUUUUGGCAAUGCUCCUUGAGAUGCUGUCUCAUCGUCAUCGGAUGCAUCAACUAGUCUGAAUUAAGGAAUAAGGGGUGCCUCAUGUGGUGGGACAUCCUCUUCUAUACUAGACUCUCUACUACCACUGCCAUC